Paramuricea clavata is the source of this 539-nucleotide non-coding RNA. NCBI's taxonomy places the organism in Eukaryota, Metazoa, Cnidaria, Anthozoa, Malacalcyonacea, Plexauridae. The record is from the annotation of a GenBank genome assembly.
GUAAAAUUCUUAUGAAUUGACUUCAUGCUACUUCUCAAUUUUAUUGCACCAUUAUUUCCGGUUUUAACAUAUAUUAUUAUUGACAUUUAUAUGUUCAUUGAUCCUGCAAAAUCUCACUGACAUGAGCCUUCAGUUUAUUUGCAACAUGUCGAGAAAGUUGAAAUAAAAAAAAUUUAAAAAUUUUACAGUGUGUGCAGGACUGCACAUUGGUCAUAGAGGAACAAAUAUGAAAAUAGAUGAAUCGAAUAUGCUCAAAUUUGCAUAUUAUAUUAUAUUAUAAUAUUAUGUUAUUUAAGUAAUUUUGAACGUAAUUUGUAAUUAAUUACUUUAGGGGAAAAGUAAUUGUAAUUUUACAACUGUGCUAUUAUGUAGAGUAUUCUUGAUAACUAGGGGUGGACCAGAUUUGGAAUUUUUCUUAACCGAUUUUGGAAUUUUGUUAUGCUGGAUGUAGCACAGAUGUAGAUACCUGUAGAUCUAGGAUGCACUAGCUAGGUCAGUAUAUAAUCUGCAAUGUUAUAUGCAAAUUUUCAUUAAAAAUG